This is a long non-coding RNA of Canis lupus familiaris (dog), 2405 nucleotides long. RefSeq lists it as uncharacterized. NCBI's taxonomy places the organism in Eukaryota, Metazoa, Chordata, Mammalia, Carnivora, Canidae. The record is from RefSeq and is a predicted model, not a curated record. The transcript is spliced from 6 exons.
AGGGAGAAGCAGGCUCCAUGCAGUGCCUGAUGUGGGACUCGAUCUCAGGACCCUGAGAUCACACCCGGAGCCAAAAGCAGAUGCUCAACCGCUGAGCCACCACUCAGGUGCCCAGGUUUACGUGUUCUCAUAAGGAACAAUAACUUAGCAAAGAUACUAAGUCUCAGCAAGGUAAGGGGCAGAAGGAUGCACUGGUGCAUUAGUACUGCGUCCAACCCUGUGGGGUGGAAUGUAUGUAACUGUCCGCGCACCGAGGCAGGCAGAGGCCACCUCUGGAAGGACAUAAACAACACAGGUAAUGGAAGCUACCAGAAUUUUGUACUGGAAGGACUGUGCUGGGGGUGAGAGGGCAGGGCUGGUGCUGCAGCAGGGUCCAGCCGCAGGACAGUCCUCGCGACUCAGAGUCAUUAGAGGGGCCUGUGGCCGUGAAUAAUACCGCCCGCCCCGCCUCUGGGCCCACGGCAGCCAGCCUGCCCCAGGUCACGGCAGACUUAACUUUUUACUACAUAAUCUUUUGUGCUGUUUUGUUUCUUAAAACCCAAGGCAUAUAUGACCUCUUUAAUAAUUUAGAAUUUAAAAUUAAAAAAAGAGGAAUUUUCUGCCUGAGGCAGGACCCACCUAAGAAAUGAGAAGUAGCCAGGCGGCAAGUGGAGCGAGUGCCAGUAUUCUUGGGCCCCAGGCGGGAGGAGCUGAGCCGGAGGGACCUGUGGCCUCUCCCCCAGCCCAGGCGGGACCUUGGGGACCCUCCCUCCAUCUCCCUUCAGUGGAAGAUUUUAUCCUCUCCCUCCCGUGGGCGGCAGCUGGUCGUGGCUGCAGAGGCAGGGUUUUGGACAAGAUGUAUCUCAGUAGCUACCCUGAGCUCAAGAACACGGAAGACAGGAUACCGGGGAGACUCCUCCAUGACCUUGGCAAAAAGGGACCAGGUGCCUGGUGAGGGGUCACAGUGGGGGUGGAAGCAACCCCCGGCAGUAUUGAUUAUUUGGAAAACUCAACCCCAAAUGACUUGAGCAUAACUGCUUCUCCAUCUCCCGGAGAAAGUGGACUUUCCCCCGUUGUGGGGGGAAAAGUCCUUCCCUUCUCUCUGGGUGCCUUAGGUCAACCCCCUCUUGAGCUCGGUGAUUGGCACCCCAAGGAUGAUAGACUGAAGUCGAGAUCCCGAGUUAGGCUCUGGUGAGGAGCACGACCCCACCUCCCUGGUCCUGGACUCCUCAGAGUGGCCCUGCAGUAAUUUCCUGGAUGACUACUGGGUGCUAAGCAGGGGGCCAGAGGCUGGAGAUGUGGCAGCGACUGGCCACCCUCUGCCAAGUCAUUGCUUCCCCCAAGGCUCCUCGGGUGCCCUCCUUUGUGGUGAGGCCUCCUGCUUAAUCCUGCACCUCAUGCUCCCACCUGGCACCCCCACAUCCGCUCUACUUCCUCCGUCUUCCGCAGCACUCCUAACUUGCCAACAUGCUAUAAGCUUCAGGCCUCUGACUGCGAGGUGGAGUCUGGGCAUCCCUGUGCCACCACUGCCUCUCUCGCUUGCUCGGGUGCUGAGCUGGAGCCUAAUCACUUAAUUUGUCAAUUUGGCGUUAUUUCCCCUGAGCCCAGGAUGUGGCAUCGCAUGGCCCACGGGCGCUGCUGCGGGAUGGAAACUGAGGCUUGGAGGGGAUACAGGCAUGCAGGGUGGGCCACGAGGGGGAUCCUUGAGGGGAUUCGGAGGGCAGAAGGGAAGCAACAGCCAUUCUGUCGCUCGCACCUGUCGUGGCUGCUCUGCUGACCCACCUCAUCGACGGGAAGGAGCAGCUGGUUCCUCCCGCUGAGCCAGCUUUGAGUUGGGGAAACGGACUCAUCGCCGGGAUUCAGACCCAGGCUGUCUGCCUUCCAUGGUUUUUGCCAUCGCCGUCCCUCCUGUGACAAGGCAGUGUGGAGAUGAGCUGACAUCGUGGACGUCAAGGCUCUGCAAAGGGCGGUGUAGUGUUCAUUCUUCUUCAGUGGGUCUCACAUGGGAAGUUCCCCUUCAGUUCCCUCAAAUAUGCAGAAAUAACCUAAACAAGCGAGCUAGCUAGAAAGCUAGUCACUGUCACAACAAACACAGCCAGAAAGGUAGGCUCUUCCGAGGACCCAGAAAAAUCCAGCACUCUCCAGAGAAGAGGACCCCCCCUAGGGAUCCCUGCCUUGGAUAUUCUGGCCCCUUGGCAAGUGGGAGGCUUAGAGGGGUGUGUCAGGCUCUACCUAAGUGUCAAUCCAUCAAUUCCCUUCACUCUGACUUUAUACUGAACAAACAACCUUCUCGUAUUGAUUACCUUUCCCAAAAGUCUAUCCCUUCCUGAAAGAGGUUGUGCUGACCAGUCAACCUCAGGAUUCCCGUCUGCUGGGUGGUUUCAUUUCUCAGUGUAAAUUAAUAAAUUGCACUCCAGGUUUAUCAA